Long non-coding RNA from Podarcis raffonei (Aeolian wall lizard), 442 nucleotides. RefSeq lists it as uncharacterized. NCBI's taxonomy places the organism in Eukaryota, Metazoa, Chordata, Lepidosauria, Squamata, Lacertidae. The transcript is spliced from 3 exons. The record is from RefSeq and is a predicted model, not a curated record.
UUGCUGCUGGAGCACCUGCCCCUAAUUUAGUGAAAUUGUGGGACAGUUUUUCUUUAUAAAGGGGACCCAAUUGGAUUCCACCAUUUAGAAUAUGUCUGUUUUGUUUGUGGUCUGUGUUGUGUCAGUGAGGAGCUAUCCUAUAAAAAGAACUGGAUGAACUUCGACUAUUUGGACUACACUCCUUUGGAAACAUGAAGAAGGCAGAAAAACUGCUUUGCAGAAUAUUACUGCUGUUUCUCUGGUUCCAGUCUGGAGUAGGGAGGAAUGGACCAGCAUUUGCUCCUCCAGGUUUUAUAGAAAGCACCUGUUCCUCCAGUAUGUUUUGGGUGAAGCUGGAUAAGUCCUUUCUUCAGGACAAAUUCUUCACAGUAGAAAUAAUUGGUGAGCUGUAAUCCAUGGGAAAAGAUAAAGAGGGUAUCACUUCAUGCUUGCAGCCUUACUC